CGCACCUUGCGCCCUUUGGUAUUCCGAAGGGCACGCCUGUUUGAGUGUCAUGUUCAUCUCAAUCCAUCAGCUUUUUGGCUGACUUGGAUUGGAUUUGGGAGUCUGCUGGCCCUCAUUGGGUCGGCUCUCCUUGAAUACAUGAGUGAGCAAUUGGCUUGCGUUGCUGGUGUGAUAGUUUUCAUCAUUGGCGGCGCUUGCUUCACGGGCUUGCUUUCGAACCGUCUUCUCAACGGAGACAAUUUUGACAUAUUUGACCUCAAAUCAGGUGGGACUACCCGCUGAACUUAA
RNAcentral lists this unclassified non-coding RNA (288 nucleotides) under Hymenochaete ulmicola. Its description in RNAcentral is "partial contains 5.8S ribosomal RNA, internal transcribed spacer 2, and large subunit ribosomal RNA". Lineage: Eukaryota; Fungi; Basidiomycota; Agaricomycetes; Hymenochaetales; Hymenochaetaceae. The record is from RNAcentral.